This is a ribosomal RNA of Capra hircus (goat), 118 nucleotides long. Lineage: Eukaryota; Metazoa; Chordata; Mammalia; Artiodactyla; Bovidae. The record is from Ensembl.
GGCUAUGGCCAUACCCUCCUGAGUGUGCCUGAUCUCAUCUGAUUCAGUAGCUAAGCAGGGUUGGAUCUGGUUAACAUAUGGAUGGGAGAAUACCUGGGACUACUGACUACUGUAGGUU